UUAGAGGGGAGAACAGAUACAUGUGUGUCAGCGCCUCGUUUCAUGUUACAGCGUGUCACAGAAAUAGCAUCCAAAAGCCACUACCGUUGUUUAUAGGGGUAUAUUUCAUACAGGGCUAUUUUUGUAUGUUUUGAUUUAUUUUCUCUGUUGAUUUGGGAUCUUUAUAAUCUUGAGAAGGAAUGUGAUUUAAGGAGUAAUGUGUAUUAACCCUUUCUAAUCAGCCGAAUUUCACCCAAAGGGAGUGUUCAAUAGUUGGGCUACUGUUUUAUUUGUUUUAUUUAUUUUUCUUUAAACUGAAUAGGCCAUUGUAACUAAAUAUUUACAUUGUAUUUGGAGCUUGUGUUAAUUUGAUCUCUUUUUAUAUUUCUUGUAAACUUGGUUUAUUAUAAUAUACUACACAGGGGGAAAUUUCACAGUCAUUUAAUGCUGUGUUUUCUCUUAACUCAGUCGGAAAUAAAGAACCCCUGUUAGA
This is a non-coding RNA of Misgurnus anguillicaudatus (oriental weatherfish), 472 nucleotides long. The record is from RefSeq and is a predicted model, not a curated record. Lineage: Eukaryota; Metazoa; Chordata; Actinopteri; Cypriniformes; Cobitidae.